UGGGUUGUGGCUCAGCGGUAGAGCACUUGCCUGGCAUGCACGAGGCCCUGGUUUCGAUUCUCAACACCACAU
Molecule: transfer RNA, 72 nt
Filed under: Ictidomys tridecemlineatus (thirteen-lined ground squirrel)
Lineage: Eukaryota; Metazoa; Chordata; Mammalia; Rodentia; Sciuridae
Description: Spermophilus tridecemlineatus (thirteen-lined ground squirrel) tRNA
Rfam family: tRNA
About the family: Transfer RNA (tRNA) molecules are approximately 80 nucleotides in length. Their secondary structure includes four short double-helical elements and three loops (D, anti-codon, and T loops). Further hydrogen bonds mediate the characteristic L-shaped molecular structure. tRNAs have two regions of fundamental functional importance: the anti-codon, which is responsible for specific mRNA codon recognition, and the 3' end, to which the tRNAs corresponding amino acid is attached (by aminoacyl-tRNA synthetases). tRNAs cope with the degeneracy of the genetic code in two manners: having more than one tRNA (with a specific anti-codon) for a particular amino acid; and 'wobble' base-pairing, i.e. permitting non-standard base-pairing at the 3rd anti-codon position.
Source: Rfam by way of RNAcentral